AUCCUCCGUGGCGCAAUUGGCUAGCGCGUCUGACUGUUAAUCAGGAGGUUCGUGGUUCGAGCCCACGCGGGGGAGUC
This 77-nucleotide transfer RNA is filed under the name Periconia digitata. RNAcentral's name for it is "tRNA-Asn". It matches the Rfam family "tRNA". From Rfam's summary of the family: Transfer RNA (tRNA) molecules are approximately 80 nucleotides in length. Their secondary structure includes four short double-helical elements and three loops (D, anti-codon, and T loops). Further hydrogen bonds mediate the characteristic L-shaped molecular structure. tRNAs have two regions of fundamental functional importance: the anti-codon, which is responsible for specific mRNA codon recognition, and the 3' end, to which the tRNAs corresponding amino acid is attached (by aminoacyl-tRNA synthetases). tRNAs cope with the degeneracy of the genetic code in two manners: having more than one tRNA (with a specific anti-codon) for a particular amino acid; and 'wobble' base-pairing, i.e. permitting non-standard base-pairing at the 3rd anti-codon position. The record is from RNAcentral. Lineage: Eukaryota; Fungi; Ascomycota; Dothideomycetes; Pleosporales; Periconiaceae.